AACUACAGUUGUAUUACUACCCACAGCAUGGAAGCCUAUGGAUUGUUGCACCAGACUUUCUUUCCUUCUGUAAAGGAAUAAAGCUCUCCAGCUCCAUGUCCUCUUUUGAGGGUCCCAGUCAGUGCAGAAGUAACAUAGAAUCUAAGAUUGUGAGGUCACAUUCCAGAAGCAAAGAAACUGACAUUGCAGCAGAAGCCAUUAGAUUCCCUCACCAGCCAAAUAUGGAAAAAUAAUAUAAAGCUCACAAAAUCGGAUCAUCCCUGUGCUCUUCUCUACCACCAGCUUUUCUCUGCAUGCAGAACUGUACUGGCUGGAUGGCUGCACAGAGACAAUUAACUGCAGACUUAUAGGUCCAAAAUUUUAUGAAGAACACCAAACUCAAAUACCUCUUAUUUUCUUUAUCAGGCCAAUACGUCCACUUCAAGAGUUUCAUUAUGAAUUUAGAUGAAAAGCGUACAAAACUGGAUUUCUUACUGAUUUCCUAUCACUUCAGAAUGUUUAACUCUACUGCCUUGGUGUGGAUUUCAGCUGUAGUCAGAUGAGGCACAGUUUAUACAAGUACUUGAACAACCUUCUUAAAAAAUCAUUUUCACCAAAGUACCACCAAGAAGAUGUGAGAUCUAAUCAGUACAUUGAACUUGAAAAGCAAAAGUUAAGGCUCUCCAAGGCCAUACUUAACUUCAAUACUAAUUAUUUCAGAAUGGAACACUUUUCCCUUUUAUUCAUGUUAAUGUUAAGAAAGCAUCCCCCACCCCCCCAAAAAAAACUAUUUAGGAACUACUCUUGGGUUACAGGACUGUGUUUUUAUUUU
Pogona vitticeps (central bearded dragon) is the source of this 811-nucleotide non-coding RNA. NCBI's taxonomy places the organism in Eukaryota, Metazoa, Chordata, Lepidosauria, Squamata, Agamidae. The record is from RefSeq and is a predicted model, not a curated record.